Trichoplusia ni (cabbage looper) is the source of this 209-nucleotide long non-coding RNA. RefSeq lists it as uncharacterized. NCBI's taxonomy places the organism in Eukaryota, Metazoa, Arthropoda, Insecta, Lepidoptera, Noctuidae. The transcript is spliced from 2 exons. The record is from RefSeq and is a predicted model, not a curated record.
AAUGGGCUGGAAAUAACUAUUGGGAAAUGGUCACUGCCAUAUGUAGAAGAAAGGGUAUUCCAGGCUGCGACAAUUCCACUGUAUUAUGCAGUCCAUGAUUGGUGGGAAGGGUAAAAGUAUUAAGAAAAGAGGCAGCGUUGGACGGUGAAAUAUUAAAUUGAGAAAGGAGUUGUAAGAAAGCUGUAAUGAAAUCAUUUAUAGACAUGUUA